UACACUGAUCUGGGAUAUCACUAAUGACCUGGGAUGUCUCUCUAAUACCCCAGGUGUGUCUAAUCUGGAAUGUCUGUCUUAUUCCAAUGUAUGUCUACCCUGAAGUUGGAUGUCUUCCAAAUUCACUGUGUCCACACUGUCCAGCAAUGUCUCCCUUAUUGCUCAGGCAUGUCUACCCUCACUGAGGAUGUCUCCCUAAUUUCUCAGGAUUGUAUAUGCUGGCUUUGGAUGUCUCCAUGAUUACUCAGAUGGGUCUACUCAGACUUGGGAUUUCAAUCUAAUGACCCAAGUGUGUCUCCACUAACUUGGGAUGUUGACAUAAAUCCCAAGUUAUGUCUACCAUGACCUGGGAUAUCUUCCUAGUUCCCAAGGUGUGUUUACACUGACCUCAGAUGGUCCCCUAAUUCCUCAGGUGAGCCUACACUGAUCUGGUCUAUUUUCUCUGGUGUGCUGUCUCUGACCUAGGAUGUCUACAUAGAACCCCAGGUGUUUUUGUUCUAACCUUGUUUUUUUCCCCUCUGUUUGUAAAAGUGUGUCUAGCCUGAUGGCUCUCUAGUAUCUCAAGUAUGUCUACUUUCCCAAGAGUAUCUACCCUGACCUGGGAGAUAUCCUUAGUUCCCCAGGUGUGUCUAAACUUAUUUCGGUUGUCUAUACCCCUUUGGGAUGUCUCCCUAAUUAUCCAGGUAUGUUUUCUCAAGAGAUAUCUCCUUAAUUCUAAUGGUGUAUCUACUCAAAACUCAUGUGUCUCCCUAUGCCGCUGGAUUUUCUAAUCUGACCUGAAAUUGAGGCAUGUCUAAACUGGUGUGGGAUAUAUCUAAUUCUUAGAUGUGUUGAUUCUGUAAUAGUUUGCCUUUAUAAUUCUGUAAUAGUGUCUAUCCUGACCAGUGUCUCUCUAGAUACCCAUGUGUGUCUUGUCUGACUUGGGAUAACUGCCUAAUAGUGCAAGUAUAUCUAAACCGAAAUGGGUUAUCUUCCUAAGUCCCCAUGUGUGUCUACACUACCUCAGAUGUCUCCAUAAUAAAGUAGGCAUGUCUACACUGGAACUACCUUCUAAUUUCCCAUGGAUGUCUACUCUGACUUUGAUGUCUCCAACGUAUCCCAAGUGUGUUUAUACUGUCCUCAGAUAUUUCACUAAUACCCCAGGUGUGUCUAUUCUGACAUGGGAUAUUUCUUUACCUUCCACAAAUGUCAUCUAACCUGAGACGUCUUCCUAAUUAAGCGUGUCUACACAGAACUGAGAUGCUUCCCUACUUCUCAAGAUACGACACUGACAUGGGAUGUUUUCUUAUUUCCACAGUUCUGUAUACACUGACAUGGGAUGUAUCCUUAAUACCUGAAGUGUGUCUUCACUGACCUGGGAUAUCUCCCUAAUUGCCCAGGUGUCCCUUUCAAACCUGGGAUAACUCCAUAUACAUCAGAUGUGUUUACUUUGACCUGGCAUGUCUUCCUAACUCCCCAGUUGUGUCUAUGCUACCUGGGUUAUCUCCCUAAUUCCUUGGUGUGUCAACACUGUCAUUCAGUGUUUCAUAUCUCCGUCUUUUAGCAUGAUUUGGGAUUCUCCUAAGUCCCCAUGUGUGUCUACUCUAACACAAAUAUUUCACAAACUCAGCUUGUGAGACUACACUUAGAAUUCUUAUUAAUUUCACAGAUGCAUCUUCUGUGACCUAGGGCGUAUCUCUAAUUCCCGAGUGGAUCUUCUUUGCUCUUACUCAUCUUCUUAUUUCCCCAGGUCUAUGCACCUGGGAUGUCUCUAUAAAUUACCAGGAGCAUCUACAAUGACCUUGGAUGCAUCCUUAAUUCCCCAGCUCUGUCUACGCAGACCUGUGUAGUCUCCCUAAUUCCCAGUUGUGUCUGCAGACCUUACAUGUCUUCCUUUUCCCCCAGGUGUGACUACACUGUCCUGGGAUAUCUCUCUAAUUUCCUAGCUUUGCCUACACUGACCUGGCAUGUGUCUAAGACUGCAGAUGUGACUACUCUGACCUAGGAUGUCACUUUAUUCCCUAGGUGUUUCUACUCUACCUGUGAUGUCUUCCUAUUUCCCCAAUUUUGUUGAUCUUGACAUUGGUGGUCUCUUUAAUUACACUAGUAUAUCUACUCUGAUCUAAUGAUGUUUCCCUAAUUCCACUGGUAUGUCUACACUGAAAGAUGAUGUCUACUCUUACCUGGCAUGUCUCCUUAAUUCCCCAUAUGUCUCUACUCAGACAUUGGAUGUCUCUUUAAAUCUCCAUGUGUGUCUACUCUGACCUGGAAUGUCUAAUUUCCCAGAAGGGUCUACACUGACCUUGGAUUUUUUUCCUAUUUCCCCUGGUAUGUCUCAUAUGACCAGAGAUGUCUCCUUUAAUCCACUGGUGUGUCUGUUGUAACCUGGAUUGUCUCCGUAAUUCCCAAAGUGUAUCUCCACUGACCUUGAAAUACUAUUUCCUAAGGUGUCUACACAGACCUGGGAUGUCUCCCUGAAUCUUAAUGUGGGUGUAUUAUGAGUUGGCAUGUCUACUUGUUCCCCAGGACUGUAUAUCUUGACCUGGUGUGUAUCCAUAAUUCCACAGGUAUGUCUACACUGACCUGUGAUGUCUUCAUAAUUUCUUAGGUGUGUCUACUCUGGCCUGUAUCUUACUAAUUCUGGGUAAACCAGUGCUCUUACAUGGGAUGUCUCCUUACCUUGGCUUGGGUUGUCUCUCUUUUUCCUCAUGUUUGUCUAUCCUGACCUGGGAUGUAUCUCUAAUAUCCCAGGGGUGUCUUCCUUAACCUAGGAUGACUCCCUAAUCCCCAGAUGUUUCUACCCUCACUUGGGAUUUAUUCAUAAUAACUCAAGUGUAUCUAUACUGAAAUGAGAUUACCUUCUAAUUCUUCAUGUAUAUUUACUUUCAUCUGGAAUAUCUCCCUAAUUCAUACAUACAGGUAUGUCCACCCUGACUUAAGAUCUAAUUCCCCAGGUGUGUCUGCUCUGGCCUGGUAUGUACUCAGUUUCCCAGGUGUGUCUACACUGACACAGGAAGUCUCAUGAAUUCCCAAUUGUGUCAUCUUUUACAUGGUAUGUCUCCCUACCCAGACCUGAGUUGACUCCCUUAUUCUCCAAGAGCAUCUUCCCUGAGUUGGUCUUCUCAACAGUGCCCCAGCGGUAGCACUGGGAUAUAUACCUAAUUCCCUAAUGAAUCUAAGCUGACCUGAGAUGUGUCCCUGCCUCACCAGGUGUGACUAUUUUACUUAGGAUUUUUUUUUUA
Non-coding RNA from Leptonychotes weddellii (Weddell seal), 3221 nucleotides. The record is from RefSeq and is a predicted model, not a curated record. NCBI's taxonomy places the organism in Eukaryota, Metazoa, Chordata, Mammalia, Carnivora, Phocidae.